CUGAGGCUCCAAAACCCGGGGUCCAGGAAUGACUGCUGCUGGACAGGCCCCUGACUCAGAGAUAGCCUCUUGUCCACGUGGCCCCGGCCCCAUUGGGGACCACGUGUUACACCGCCAGGCUCCAGUACAGGGAAGCAGACUCAGAGACAGCGUCCAGAGGCCUGACUCUUGGUGCAGCCAGGGCCUCCCACUUGCCGUGUGAUUUUUCAGUGAGAUCCACCUCUCUCUGCGCUUCUGGUGCUUCAUGGAUGAGGACACUGAGGCUCAAACUGGGUGAGUGAACAAAAGGUAUAUAUGGUGGGGAAAAGCGA
Molecule: long non-coding RNA, 311 nt
Organism: Cervus elaphus (red deer)
Lineage: Eukaryota; Metazoa; Chordata; Mammalia; Artiodactyla; Cervidae
Exons: 3
Source: RefSeq, a predicted model, not a curated record